GAAAUGCGAUAAGUAAUGUGAAUUGCAGAAUUCAGUGAAUCAUCGAAUCUUUGAACGCACCUUGCGCUCCUUGGUAUUCCUUGGAGCAUGCCUGUUUGAGUAUCAUGAAAUCUUCAAAGUAAAUCUUUUGUUAACUCAAUUGGUUUCUACUUUGGUAUUGGAGGUCUUUGCAGCUUCACACCUGCUCCUCUUUGUUCAUUAGCUGGAUCUCAGUGUUAUGCUUGGUUCCACUCGGCGUGAUAAGUUAUCUAUCGCUGAGGACACUGUAAAAGGUGGCCAAGGUAAAUGCAGAUGAACCGCUUCUAAUAGUCCAUUGACUUGGACAAUACUUUUAUGAUCUGAUCUCAAAUCAGGUAUGAAUACCCGCUGAACUUAAGC
RNAcentral lists this unclassified non-coding RNA (378 nucleotides) under plant metagenome. Its description in RNAcentral is "partial contains 5.8S ribosomal RNA, internal transcribed spacer 2, and large subunit ribosomal RNA". The stretch from base 1 to 105 matches the Rfam family "5.8S ribosomal RNA", at positions 50 to 154 of the family's 154-position model. The record is from RNAcentral.